Molecule: ribosomal RNA, 253 nt
Filed under: uncultured bacterium
Lineage: Bacteria
Description: partial 16S ribosomal RNA
Rfam family: Bacterial small subunit ribosomal RNA
Source: RNAcentral
UACGUAGGGUGCGAGCGUUAAUCGGAAUUACUGGGCGUAAAGCCUGCGCAGGCGGUUUUGUAAGCCAGAUGUGAAAUCCCCGGGCUUAACCUGGGAAUGGCAUUUGGGACUGCAAGGCUUGAGUGCGGCAGAGGAGACUGGAAUUCCUGGUGUAGCAGUGAAAUGCGUAGAUAUCAGGAGGAAUACCGAUGGCGAAGGCAGGUCUCUGGGCUGACACUGACGCUCAUGCACGAAAGCGUGGGGAGCAAACAGG